RNAcentral lists this ribosomal RNA (324 nucleotides) under Candidatus Pacebacteria bacterium CG10_big_fil_rev_8_21_14_0_10_36_11. RNAcentral's name for it is "bacterial LSU rRNA". It matches the Rfam family "Bacterial large subunit ribosomal RNA", at positions 2581 to 2925 of the family's 2925-position model. The record is from RNAcentral. Lineage: Bacteria; Bacillati; Minisyncoccota.
UCGCCUAUUAAAGCGGUACGCGAGCUGGGUUCAGACCGUCGUGAGACAGGUCGGCCUCUAUCCGCUGCUAGCGUUAGAAAACUGAAGAAAUUUGCCCCUAGUACGAGAGGACCGGGGUGAGAGGAUCCCUAGUGUUCCUGUUGUUGCUGUCAAGCGCACUGCAGGGUAGCUACAUCCUAAAGGAUAACCGCUGAAAGCAUCUAAGCGGGAAACCUCUUCUAAGAUUAGUUUUCUCAAUGAGACCCGUGGGAGACUACCACGUUGAUAGACGGUAAGUGCAAGUCUGGUGACAGAUUGAGCUUAACCGCACUAAGUGUCCAAUGA